RNAcentral lists this long non-coding RNA (206 nucleotides) under Ananas comosus (pineapple). Its description in RNAcentral is "long non-coding RNA (ACOM_LNC033996)". The record is from RNAcentral. Lineage: Eukaryota; Viridiplantae; Streptophyta; Magnoliopsida; Poales; Bromeliaceae.
UCUCUGCUUCUUUUUUUGUUUUUUGAUCUUUAUCGUUAUCUUCAUUCACAUUCUUCUGACUGACACACGAUUUUAUCUUUCAUACUACUAUUUCUACUAUCUUUAGUGUUAUUUUUUUUUUUUAACAAAAAUAGCAUGUUACUCACUUCAUUCAUUGGAAUGAUCAAUUAGGUGAAAAAAGCUGAGGCAAUGAGGGUCUCGUAGAA